RNAcentral lists this ribosomal RNA (600 nucleotides) under Trichoderma citrinum. RNAcentral describes it as "eukaryotic LSU rRNA". It matches the Rfam family "Eukaryotic large subunit ribosomal RNA", at positions 121 to 742 of the family's 3401-position model. The record is from RNAcentral. Lineage: Eukaryota; Fungi; Ascomycota; Sordariomycetes; Hypocreales; Hypocreaceae.
UCUGGCCCCUCUCGGGGUCCGAGUUGUAAUUUGUAGAGGAUGCUUUUGGCGAGGCGCCGCCCGAGUUCCCUGGAACGGGACGCCACAGAGGGUGAGAGCCCCGUCUGGCUGGCCGCCGAGCCUCUGUAAAGCUCCUUCGACGAGUCGAGUAGUUUGGGAAUGCUGCUCAAAAUGGGAGGUAUAUGUCUUCUAAAGCUAAAUACUGGCCAGAGACCGAUAGCGCACAAGUAGAGUGAUCGAHAGAUGAAAAGCACCUUGAAAAGAGGGUUAAAUAGUACGUGAAAUUGUUGAAAGGGAAGCGCUUGUGACCAGACUUGGGCGCGGCGGAUCAUCCGGGGUUCUCCCCGGUGCACUUCGCCGCGUCCAGGCCAGCAUCAGUUCGUCGCGGGGGAUAAAGGCUUCGGGAACGUGGCUCCCCCGGGAGUGUUAUAGCCCGUUGCACAAUACCCUGCGGUGGACUGAGGACCGCGCAUCUGCAAGGAUGCUGGCGUAAUGGUCACCAGCGACCCGUCUUGAAACACGGACCAAGGAGUCGUCUUCGUAUGCGAGUGUUCGGGUGUCAAACCCCUACGCGUAAUGAAAGUGAACGCAGGUGAGAGC